This 185-nucleotide small nucleolar RNA is filed under the name Huiozyma naganishii CBS 8797. RNAcentral's name for it is "Kazachstania naganishii CBS 8797 Small nucleolar RNA snR80". It matches the Rfam family "Small nucleolar RNA snR80". The record is from Rfam by way of RNAcentral. Lineage: Eukaryota; Fungi; Ascomycota; Saccharomycetes; Saccharomycetales; Saccharomycetaceae.
ACAAGUUUGACGACACUCUGGUGCCUAGUGGUAUAUUAGAUCUGAAAUUUUACUAUUUCAGCUUUUCUUUUAUUCUAACUAUAUUAGGUUCCUAUUUUGGCUCAAACAAGAUCCACUGACACUUACUCACCAAGAUAGUCUCUUCCUCCAUGACUAUAUUGGUCCAUCUUUCAUCUGUCAUAUAU